UACGUAGGGUGCAAGCGUUAAUCGGAAUUACUGGGCGUAAAGCGUGCGCAGGCGGUCUUGCAAGACAGAUGUGGAAUCCCCGGGCUCAACCUGGGAACUGCAUUUGUGACUGCAAGGCUGGAGUACGGUAGAGGGGGAUGGAAUUCCGCGUGUAGCAGUGAAAUGCGUAGAUAUGCGGAGGAACACCGAUGGCGAAGGCAAUCCCCUGGACCUGUACUGACGCUCAUGCACGAAAGCGUGGGGAGCAAACAGG
This 253-nucleotide ribosomal RNA is filed under the name uncultured bacterium. Its description in RNAcentral is "partial 16S ribosomal RNA". It matches the Rfam family "Bacterial small subunit ribosomal RNA", at positions 524 to 776 of the family's 1533-position model. The record is from RNAcentral.